Molecule: ribosomal RNA, 445 nt
Filed under: uncultured bacterium
Lineage: Bacteria
Description: partial 16S ribosomal RNA
Rfam family: Bacterial small subunit ribosomal RNA
Source: RNAcentral
GUGAGGAAUAUUGGACAAUGGGCGCAAGCCUGAUCCAGCCAUGCCGCGUGCAGGAAGACGCAUCUAUGGUGUGUAAACUGCUUUUGUACGGGAAGAAACACUCCCUCGUGAGGGAGCUUGACGGUACCGUAAGAAUAAGGAUCGGCUAACUCCGUGCCAGCAGCCGCGGUAAUACGGAGGAUCCAAGCGUUAUCCGGAAUCAUUGGGUUUAAAGGGUCCGUAGGCGGUUUAAUAAGUCAGUGGUGAAAGCCCAUCGCUCAACGAUGGAACGGCCAUUGAUACUGUUAGACUUGAAUUACAAGGAAGUAACUAGAAUAGGUAGUGUAGCGGUGAAAUGCUUAGAUAUUACAUGGAAUACCGAUUACGAAGGCAGGUUACUACUUGUGGAUUGACGCUGAUGGACGAAAGCGUGGGGAGCGAACAGGAUUAGAUACCCGAGUAGUCC